GUUAUGAAUUUAUCUGAAGCAGUCACUAGAAUAGUUUUCUUAUUUGUUCCUGUUGAGAUUUCCUUGUUGGUUUUUCCUCUCUGAUAAUUUUUUUCGGACCAUCCUGCCUAAGGGCUUACUCAAAAAGGUAAUAAUGAUGUCUAAUAAAAUGACUGGUUUAGUUAAAUGGUUCAAUCCUGAAAAAGGUUUUGGUUUUAUCACUCCAAAAGAUGGCAGCAAGGAUGUAUUCGUCCAUUUCUCUGCUAUCCAGAGUAACGAUUUUAAGACACUGAAUGAAAAUCAGGAAGUCGAGUUUGGUGUUGAACAAGGUCCAAAAGGUCCCUCAGCAGUUAAUGUUGUGGCUCUUUAAGGUAACUGUUAUCACUAAUAAUAU
RNAcentral lists this small RNA (373 nucleotides) under Citrobacter farmeri. RNAcentral describes it as "cspA thermoregulator". It matches the Rfam family "cspA thermoregulator". The record is from RNAcentral. Lineage: Bacteria; Pseudomonadati; Pseudomonadota; Gammaproteobacteria; Enterobacterales; Enterobacteriaceae.